RNAcentral lists this ribosomal RNA (847 nucleotides) under uncultured archaeon. Its description in RNAcentral is "bacterial SSU rRNA". It matches the Rfam family "Archaeal small subunit ribosomal RNA", at positions 17 to 873 of the family's 1478-position model. The record is from RNAcentral.
CCGGACCUGACUGCUAUCGGAUUGGUACUAAGCCAUGCGAGUCAUUGUAGCAAUACAAGGCGGACGGCUCAGUAACACGUAGUCAACCUAACCUAUGGACGUGGAUAACCUCGGGAAACUGAGAAUAAACCGCGAUAGAUCAUUAUGCCUGGAAUGGCUUAUGGUUCAAACAAUUUAUUGCCGUAGGAUGGGACUGCGGCCUAUCAGCUUGUUGGUGAGGUAAUGGCCCACCAAGGCUAUAACAGGUACGGGCUCUGAGAGGAGAAGCCCGGAGAUGGGUACUGAGACACGGACCCAGGCCCUAUGGGGCGCAGCAGGCGAGAAACCUUAGCAAUGUGCGAAAGCACGACUAGGUUAAUCCGAGUGAUUCCUGUUGAAGGAAUCUUUUGUCAGUCGUAAAACCACAGACGAAUAAGGGGUGGGCAAGUCUGGUGUCAGCCGCCGCGGUAAUACCAGCACCUCGAGUGGUCAGGAGGUUUAUUGGGCCUAAAGCAUCCGUAGCCGGCUUUGCAAGUCUCCGGUUAAAUCCAGCUGCUCAACAGAUGGGCUGCCGGAGAUACUACACAGCUAGGGAGCGGGAGAGGCAGACGGUAUUCUGUGGGUAGGGGUAAAAUCCAUUGAUCCAUAGAGGACCACCAGUGGCGAAGGCGGUCUGCCAGAACGCGUUCGACGGUGAGGGAUGAAAGCUGGGGGAGCAAACCGGAUUAGAUACCCGGGUAGUCCCAGCUGUAAACGAUGCAAACUCGGUGAUGCAUUGGCUUAUGGGCCAAUGCAGUGCCGCAGGAAGCCGUUAAGUUUGCCGCCUGGGAGUACGGACGCAAGUCUGAACUUAAAGGAAUUGGCGGGG